UACGUAGGUGGCGAGCGUUGUCCGGAAUUACUGGGCGUAAAGGGUGCGUAGGCGGCUCUUUAAGUGGGAUGUGAAAUCCCUGGGCUCAACCCAGGAACUGCAUUCCAAACUGGAGAGCUAGAGUGCAGGAGAGGAAAGCGGAAUUCCCAGUGUAGCGGUGAAAUGCGUAGAGAUUGGGAGGAACACCAGUGGCGAAGGCGGCUUUCUGGACUGUAAUUGACGCUGAGGCACGAAAGCGUGGGGAGCAAACAGG
Molecule: ribosomal RNA, 253 nt
Filed under: uncultured bacterium
Lineage: Bacteria
Description: partial 16S ribosomal RNA
Rfam family: Bacterial small subunit ribosomal RNA
Source: RNAcentral